AUCAAGAAACAAAUGUGGCCACAUGUAAUGCUCCAUGUUUAUAUUAAUGUUUGCUCAACGGUUCAAUUGAAAAUGUAGCUAAGUUAAAAAAAAAAUUACUACUACCAUUCACAUUUUCAAAUUGAACAUUUUUUAGUUUGACCAAAUUUUCAAUUUGGACUCGGUCUUUUCUCAAUUUCAAUACUUAAAUAGUGCACUAUUUAGAGAAAGAUUAAAGAGUCAAAAUUUCUGUUUAAAUCUCUCUUAAUUAUAUAUAACCUUUCAGUUACCCAACAGAGAAAAAACCAGAGAAUAGAAUAAAAAACAAAAAUUAAAAGAGGUAAAGAAAAUUGAUGAAGAAAAAAAAGGCAUAAUUCUUCUACAUACAAUUGAAGCAAAGAUUCUUCGAUUCUGUAUUACAAAUUUAUCUCUCUCUCUCAACCUCAUCAAUGCCAUUAAUUUAAAUAAAAAUCUAAAACAAAAUCUAAAAAAAAAAAAAAAACAAAUAAGAAAAAUUCAAUUGAACUCAAUUCAAGUACUUGUUGAAGAAGAAGAAGGACCCAAACGAGCUCUUGGAGAAGUAGUUGGAAACAGAGGAAGCAAACGAGGUUGUUCAGAGUCUCUUGGAGUAGUUGAAGGUGAAGGGUGUAAGAAAAACUUCUUUUCUUUUAUAGCUUUUUCUUCAGCUUCAAUGUUCAAAACUGGUUUAGGACUUCCAUUUCCACAUCGGUGACCAGAGACGGUGGUUCUGUUAAAAGGGUCCGGUAUAAGAGGUGUAACAGGGCUAAGAACAAGCGCAGGAAAAUCUAGGAUACUAGGAGACAGAAUUUCAGGUUUUCUAGGUGAAAAGCUUGAAGGGUUGUUUGAAUUUGAAGAGAAAACAGGAAGUAAUGGGUUUAGGUGAAGAUUUUUCAAAGAGUUUCUUCUUUCAUAGAGUUUGAAACCAGAUUUUUUUGGUGGAAUAUGGUUUCGCAGGUUGUUGUUUGAGGAAGUUGAUGAUGUUUGUUUUGUUGUUGUUUCAGUGGAUCCAGUUAACAUUUGAACAACUUGUUUGAAUGAAGAUGGGUCAGCUUGAACAAAUGUUGUCGGGUAUGGGUUACCCGGUUCGGAUCUGGUGACUGGUUUUGGUGGGUAUGGUGAAGGUGGGUUAUGAUGAUGAUUGUUGUUGUUACUGUUGCUACUGCUACAUGAACUGUGGCUAUAGCGUGGUGAAGGAAGAGAAGUGUUGUUUCUUGGUGAUUUCAUGUUAUUCUUGUUUGACUCCAUUGUUGGAGAGAGAGAGAGAGAGAGAGAGAGAGAGAGGGUAGAAUGAAACUAUGUUGAAGGGUACCCUUUGUAAGUUUGGUUUGGUUUGGUUUGGUAAGAAAUGUAUUUGUAGGACCCUCUGUUGAGACUUGAAAAACUAAUUCAUCUAACUACGCGCUUUGUAGUGAGUGAGCUAUAGAUAGAUACAUAUAUAUAAAUUGUAAGGGGAGGGUAAUAGUGUCAUUGUAAAUGUUAUUUUUGUUUACUUUUUAUAUUUAAAUCUUUAUUUUUGUUAGUUAAUUAUUUUAUACACGUAUUUGGAAUUAUUCAUGUAUUGAAUUUCUUUUUUAAAAAAAG
Molecule: long non-coding RNA, 1581 nt
Filed under: Medicago truncatula (barrel medic)
Lineage: Eukaryota; Viridiplantae; Streptophyta; Magnoliopsida; Fabales; Fabaceae
Description: lncRNA gene24987
Source: RNAcentral